RNAcentral lists this ribosomal RNA (468 nucleotides) under uncultured bacterium. Its description in RNAcentral is "partial 16S ribosomal RNA". It matches the Rfam family "Bacterial small subunit ribosomal RNA", at positions 28 to 507 of the family's 1533-position model. The record is from RNAcentral.
GACGAACGCUGGCGGCGUGCUUAACACAUGCAAGUCGAACGGAAAGGCCCUGCUUUUGUGGGGUGCUCGAGUGGCGAACGGGUGAGUAACACGUGAGUAACCUGCCCUUGACUUUGGGAUAACUUCAGGAAACUGGGGCUACUACCGGAUAGGAGCUCCUGCUGCAUGGUGGGGGUUGGAACGUUUCGGCGGUUGGGGAUGGACUCGCGGCUUAUCAGCUUGUUGGUGGGGUAGUGGCUUACCAAGGCUUUGACGGGUAGCCGGCCUGAGAGGGUGACCGGCCACAUUGGGACUAAGGUACGGCCCAGACUCCUACGGGAGGCAGCAGUGGGGAAUAUUGCACAAUGGGCGGAAGCCUGAUGCAGCAACGCCGCGUGCGGGAUGACGGCCUUCGGGUUGUAAACCGCUUUCGCCUGUGACGAAGCGUGAGUGACGGUAAUGGGUAAAGAAGCACCGGCUAACUACGUG